CGCGCGGGUAACCAGAGCGGGACCGCUCUGCCUCAAGGAUGCUCCACAGCUGCUCCGCGGAGCCGCGUGGGUACCACUGAAGCGGGCACGGAUUGGCCAGCGUCCCCAAGGGCUCGCGCGCGUCCUUCAAGACUUGCCAACACGCAGGAAAAGGCAGACAGGGAAUCAACCUGGGCUGAUCCGAGGGCAAGGCCAAAGGAUGCUACCGGAAAGGAGGCUCGGAGGGGGCGCGCGGCGGCGGCCUGGGCUGGGGGAGCACAGAGCGCAGCUUUCACCCAAUGGCGAGGUCUGUAAACAAAAGCGGGCCCCACGCGGGUCCCCCGCCGGGCGGUGAGCGGCGCCGCGCAGCAGCAUCGAGCGGCCAAGCCCACGAGAGGGAGAGGCGGGGUCGAGAUCGGCGCGGGGACCCAACGCACAGCCCCCGGGACCCCGCAUCCAGACCCGUUAUUGUCUGCGCGCGCGCAAGAUGCUGCUUUAAAUGCUCCCUCCCAGGUCAGCCGCAGGUCCCCGGCCCUGUGUGCCGCCCCCCAGGCUCUCUGCCCCGUGUGUCCGGCCCCGAGUGCGGCACGGAUCGCCAAGGUGAGCGCCCAGGCAGCGUCGCCGAAAACCCAGGCCUGGAGGUGCCCAAGUCAGGGACGGAGAUACACACACAGGCACACGCACGCACACGCAUGCCCUCCCCGAAGUUGAUAAAAAUCAGCCGACAAAUACAAAGUGCCACCGCCGCCGCAGGUCAGCGCUGACCUCCUGCUGCCGGGAAGACCGAAUGCCAACGCCUGGACGCUGUCACUUCCAUUUGGCGCCGGGCACCUGGGCGCCUCUGGCUUGUCUCCCUCCUGACUGCUCCCUCGCGCGAGGGAUGUCUCCUCUUGCCUCCCCUCGCCAGCUCCCCACCUCCCAAGUGUGUGAACACGAAAACAAUACGAGUAAAGCUCAAUCGGGGGGAGCUAGGACCCGCCGGGAGCCCCAGUGUGCGGGAGAUGGGGGUCAGGACGUGCCCGUCACGGGCAAAGCGGCUCCGGGCAUCCUCAUCGUCGUCCCUCGGGGCGGCUCUGGCCAGCCGGCCCGGGCCCCCCAGGCCUGCAGUACUCACCCACGACGCUCGUCCCGGAUCUCCGCGAUGGGGCCGGGGACAAUGCGGGGCUGCCGGGCUCCUGAGGCUGCGGGCGCCGAGGCGAUCACCGCGCUGCAGAGCUGCGCGCCCGACGGCGGCGGCGCUGCUCGGCCCGGCCGCGCUCCGGCCCGCUUGCCGUCUGCCAAUGGGAGGUGUCAGGGUGCCUCCGCCGGCGGCCUCGGGGGCGGGGCCGCGGGAGCCCGUGGGAAACCGAACUCCGAUUGGGCCGCCUGACAAUCGCUCCGCCUCCGGCCGGCCAAUCAAAGACGGCGGAUACAGGAGCGGGGCGUUCGGAGUUGGGCUGGAGAGCGACAACAGGCGCACGCUGGGUACCCGGGCUGCAUCCCGGCUUGGCGCGCGCGGCUGGAAGGAUGCGGGCGCUGCGCGCUCCGGGGCUGCCUUCCCACGAGGCUCCGGCGGCCAGGCUAGGGAGAGAGGGGGAAAGCAGAGGAGGCGCGGCUGGCCGGGCAUCGGUGCGGGAGCUCCUAACAAAGCAGCUUUGGGAGGGCCGAGCGGCCUCCGCCUCCUCCCGCAAUAGGUCCGCGAAGCUGCCUGUCACCCUGCAUAGGUGGAGGUGGCCAAUGACGUACAGAGAAGGAGCUCGAGUUGGCGCGCGCGCGCGGCUCGGCAUCGGUGGGAUUGGUCGGAGGUAAAGGAUUUUCCUGCCACCUAAGGCAGAGAGGAAAGGGGAACGGAACGGGGGAGGGGAAGAGCCAAAAUACGUUGUACCUGCGACACGUGGUCUGGCUUGGAAGGCGUGUGCCUGCUUCCAGAGGGAGACGAGAACUUUUUUGCUAGGGAAAAAAAACCCUCACGUAAUCCCUCCCUGUGGAUGCUAGGGGAUGUUAGCGCUAACCAGGCGCCAGGUAGGGCACGGUGGCCUUAACCGAGUCCUGGGGGGUCCAGGACGCACCGGUUGACUCACCUUGCCCGGCUAGUGAACCUGCAAUCACAGCGUGGGCUCGGGCCUCACAUUCACCUACUGGGGCAGAGUACCUGACUCGGGCACGGUUCGCACAGACCUCCUGGUCUCUUCUGUAAAAUGCGGAAACGAGGUUUGCCGUUUACCUUUCGCGAAGUCGUGAGGGACACGGAAACCGGGACGCUGAUUGUAGAGACUCAAACGAAAGCUCGCCCCCACACCGGGCAGUGCUUCCUCCUCACUUUAAAUGCUUUGGACUUCGCCGUUGUGAACAAAGGCUGCGGGGAAUAUUCGUUACAACAGAUGCGGUGGCCGCGUUCGCACCGAGGAAGGCCAGCGCUCCCACCCCCACCCCCACCUCGUGGUUAUCUGGUCGAAAACAAGGAAUUCCCUGUGUCAGAGAGUAAACCUAAACUGGAAAAUUAAAAGUCAUCCUUGACUUCUCCCUCCUCCUCCUCCUCCCCUCUAUUCCUGCCAACCUCCCCAAUCCAUGCCCUCCUCCUGGUCCUCUCUCACUAGACCACAUCAAAGACUUCCCAUGUCUUUCUACCCCAGGCCUUGCCUCCUGAAAUCUAUUCUCCACUUGGCGGAAAAGUCUCAUUUUGCUGACUCCCCUCUGGAUCGCUUCCCUUUGCCCAGAGCCCCCCCUGCCCCCAUGCUUUCCUUUCACUUGACUGCUUCUUACCCAUUCUUCGGAUCCCAACUUCGCAGGCAGGGCAUUGAUGCAGUAGAAGUUUGCUGAACUCCAGCUGUGCAGCAGACAGUCUUGUGGGAGCAUCUGUAUCCAGUCGAGGUUAGAUACCCACAUCCCCCACCCCCGGUGUUCCCAUGUGUUACAACGGGGCUGAAAUUGCCCGUUAAUUGUGCUCUCCCCCCACCACCACAGCACUCCAUUGCAUCCGGAAUCUUAUCUGCCUUGUAUCUGCUGUGUCCCAGUGCCUAGCAUAGUACUUGGCACAUUUGGGGCUCUCCAAAAUACUUAAUCAAUGAACUAUAGAGGAGCUGUAAUGAGAGACGAGCUUUGAAGAUCUGAAGUGCUUCUGAAACAUCAGUUUGAGAAGAAUGGUUGGGAUAGUAGAUCUCAGAGUGAUAGGCCCACCAGGUCCUGUGAUGGGUGUUACAGCGAAGUUUUUGAGUGAGGUUUGAGAGAUUUUCCAAAAGACACCCUUUCAAAAGACUGCCUUUAUAUCAGCCAAUACCUUGCCCAAGCUUCUCAAGGGAGAAUCCUUCCUUUGUGAAGCUUUUCAUCCCAGGAGAAAGAGCAAUGUCUUACAAGUUCUUAACCUGUUACCAGACACCAUCUUAGAAGGGGA
Equus caballus (horse) is the source of this 3349-nucleotide long non-coding RNA. The record is from Ensembl. Lineage: Eukaryota; Metazoa; Chordata; Mammalia; Perissodactyla; Equidae.